This is a non-coding RNA of Caenorhabditis elegans, 136 nucleotides long. Lineage: Eukaryota; Metazoa; Nematoda; Chromadorea; Rhabditida; Rhabditidae. The record is from Ensembl.
UCACGCUCUCGCUAAAGGACCCUCUGAAUUUUUUGAAAAUUUCAACCAAAAUUCUCGAAUUUCAGAUAUUUUACAGCGCAUGCGAAGCUUUUUUUACAUCACAUACCAUAAUUUCACAAUAGAUUCACGUUAAAAU